This 83-nucleotide transfer RNA is filed under the name Oryctolagus cuniculus (rabbit). It matches the Rfam family "tRNA". From Rfam's summary of the family: Transfer RNA (tRNA) molecules are approximately 80 nucleotides in length. Their secondary structure includes four short double-helical elements and three loops (D, anti-codon, and T loops). The record is from Rfam by way of RNAcentral. Lineage: Eukaryota; Metazoa; Chordata; Mammalia; Lagomorpha; Leporidae.
GGCGCUGUGGUGUAGUGGGUUAAAACCCUGGUCUGCAGUGCCAGCAUCCCAUAUGGGCUCUGGUUCAAGUCCCGGCUGCUCCA